GUGGAUUUUCCUCUACGAU
RNAcentral lists this microRNA (19 nucleotides) under Rattus norvegicus (Norway rat). RNAcentral's name for it is "rno-miR-3595". Lineage: Eukaryota; Metazoa; Chordata; Mammalia; Rodentia; Muridae. The record is from miRBase by way of RNAcentral.